Molecule: unclassified non-coding RNA, 285 nt
Filed under: Hevea brasiliensis (rubber tree)
Lineage: Eukaryota; Viridiplantae; Streptophyta; Magnoliopsida; Malpighiales; Euphorbiaceae
Source: RNAcentral
UUUAUUAAUAAAAGAUUUAUUAAUGAAUACAACCAAGUAAACAAUGAAUCACACUCAAGUCCCUAUUUCAAAAUCAUUACAUCCAAACAUAACACAAAAUUAACCAUAAUCAAUGGAGGUGUUAUAUUGAACACCUGUAUAAAAGUUAAGAUUUAAAAUGAAAAAUAUUUGUCAUGCGAUCAUGUUUUGUAACUUGAUCCUCCAGUAGAUUGACAAACCACGUAAACCUACAAAAAUUGACCAAGAAAAAAAAAAUUGAUGAUUGGAUAUCAUAAACCUUACAGG